AACAUUAUGUUUUUGUUAUUUGCGUCGCAUUUUAAUAAUGAAGGGACGCAAAUGUAUCUUUUGCAUUUAGGUUAUUUCAUAAUUUUGACCUUAGUUUUUCACGCCUACCUUCCACUAAACAAAAAGAAAAAACAAGUUGCAACUCCAGUGAAUUUCUACAGCCAAAACACCCACAAAUUCGACCCUUAAAUCCAACAAAUUCGGCCAAAAAAACACCGAUUCCUCAGCAAAUUCAACAUUCAAAAUCGCAAUCAAGUUGAAGGCUUAUAAUCGGCAGCAAAUUUGAGCAAUUUCGAGCAAAAAUUUGGACCAAAAACCCUAAGAAAUCCGAACCCAUAAACCCCAGAAAAAUUGAGCAUUUCCCACAAAAAUUCCCCCAUUUUGAGCAAAAAAUCUACUCAAAACCAUAGGAAUUCGAACCCUAGAAACCCCAAAAAAUUCAAUUAAAAAUCCUGGCCUCAUAUUCGAGCAAUGACUGAAAGUUUCGAUUGGAAAAAUCGAUUAAUUUCGCCCCCAAAAACACCGGGGAAGUUCUAGCAAAUUACAGCAACAAUAAUUGAAGUUUGAUUAGUGUAGCAGUUUGACAUUGUUGAAUUUGUUGAGUUUAUUUCACCUAAGCCUGAUAUCACGGCACCAGGAGUGAAUGUCUUAGCUGCAUACUUUGGAGCUGUAAGUCCAACAGAGGAACCUUAUCCCAUAAGCGUAGAGUUUCCUUUAUGUUAGACUCGGGUACUUCUAUGUCUUGCCCUCAUAUAUCUGGGUUUGCUGGCCUUCUCAAGACUCUGUACCCUACAUGGAGCCCUGCCGCAAUAAGAUCUGCUAUAAUGACUACCGUCAAAUAUAACACAGAGAAGCCAAUGCUGGAUGCAUAUUUCACAACAGCCGAUCCAUUCGCCUAUGGAGCAGGACAUGUUAGACCAAACAGUGCCAUGGAUCCAGGGCUAGUCUAUGACUUAACCACACGCGAUUAUUUAGAGUUCCUUUGCUCUCUUGGCUAUAACAAAACCAUGCUCCAGUCCUUUGAUCCUUCCUACAAAUGGCAAGCAUCAAACACUAAAAGUAGUGGCCUAUUGAACUUCAACUACCCUUCAAUCACAAUGCCUAAACUAUCUGGCUCAGUCACUGUCACUCGAACAGUUAAGAAUGUGGCAGAGGCCUCGACUUAUGAAGCUCGUGUGACCCAACCAAACGGCGUUGAGGUCACUGUGGAACCGAAGUCUUUGCAGUUCACGAAAGCUGGAGAAGAGAAGAGUUAUAAGGUGACCCUCAAAGCUCAAGCUGGUGGCUUGCCAGCAGGGUACGUUUUCGGAGAGUUGAUAUGGUCAGAUGGAAAUCACUUUGUUAGGAGCCCCAUUGCAGUUGCUGCAACAGUUUAAUAGCGUCUUACUGUCAAAUGUAGUUGUUAACUUGAUGCUUGCAAACAAUUUGUAGGUCCAUUUGAAAAAUUUACACAGGUUACCAUGAUCGUCCCAUUAACAGGACAACGGUAUUCAAAUAAACUGACAGAAAAUUGCAUUGCAUUCUGGAAGGCCAUCGGAAUCUACACCGAUGAAGAAGCAAAGGCGGUUGAAAAAUUCCUUGACAUCUUUAAGGACAAGAAGUUUCCACAAGGGCAUUCUAUUUUGUUUACACAAUCACUCUGGGAUCACCAACGUUUGAGGAGAAAAGAAGGAUGCCAAUGGAUGCACUUUAGAGAGGGUAAAAUUUAUGGAGAAGCAACUUAGAUUCAACUCAGUUCCGGAUUUGUACUAGUUUUUCACUUUUUCAUUGUGGAUAGCACAACAAGCUCUUUAACUAAUUGAUAGCAGAGCAAGCUCUUGAUCUUUUUUAUUGUUGAUCGAAUAUCAAGCUCUUUUAAAGUAUGAUUUAAAGGAAACAACCACUUUCUUGCAAAUUUAUGGGUAAAUCUAAUAAGUACUUGAGAGUUGAGACUAGGGCAAGUAUUAUUGUUCGCCGUAACUACCUUCAUUACAUCAAGAAGUACCAAAGGCAAGUAUUAGCUAUUUUGUUUUCCCAAGUGCUGUUGUGUUAUAUGUGAUUGUUCGGUAUUCUUAUUAUUUUGUUUGUUGUUAUGUUGCUUGCAGGUACAAGAAGAGGCAUUCAAACAUCCCUGCACAUGUGUCACCCUGUUUCCGUGUCAAGGAAGGAGACCACGUUAUCAUUGGUCAAUGCAGGCCUAUCUCAAAGACAGUGAGGUUCAAUGUGUUGAAGGUGAUUCCAGCUGGAGCUGCUGCUGGUGGAAAGAAGGCUUUUGCCGGAAUUUAAGGUGUUUUUUGGAUAGAUAUUGUGAUGUAGCUAAGAUCUAUCACAGGGCUUGGAAAUUAGUAUUGUUUGCAGACCCUUGAAUUUUGAUACUUGAAGCAUUUUCAUGAUUACUAAAUACUAUGUUUCUUUUGUUAAAAUCAUAUUGGGAAAUUGUAGUACAAACAUCUUUAUGGUAUCAAAUGUUUUGUCUUAGGACCUCCCGCAAGUUUUGGCAAUA
Chenopodium quinoa (quinoa) is the source of this 2482-nucleotide RNA transcript. It is a transcript of the gene named 40S ribosomal protein S11-3-like, with no coding region annotated. The transcript is spliced from 5 exons. The record is from RefSeq and is a predicted model, not a curated record. Lineage: Eukaryota; Viridiplantae; Streptophyta; Magnoliopsida; Caryophyllales; Amaranthaceae.